UUAAGGAAAUCUAAAUGAGCAGAAUACCACUGUUAAUGGUAGUUAGAAAUACUUAAAUUUCUCCUUAAU
Molecule: transfer RNA, 69 nt
Filed under: Gomphiocephalus hodgsoni
Lineage: Eukaryota; Metazoa; Arthropoda; Collembola; Poduromorpha; Hypogastruridae
Description: tRNA-Asn
Source: RNAcentral